GGAGCUGCAAACUGCCCUCAGGGCAAAGAAGCCUGCAGAAUAAUUGGGAGGAGUCUGGCAGGAAGGAAGCCAAGAAAGCACAAGCAAGAAUGUGUGAGAAGAUCACAGAGACCUAAAGAAGGGGAAGGGAAGAACCCACAUGUGAGAGAGAAGAGAUUGUCUGACUUGGUCUCUUAGGGCUCCUCAUCUCAAGAAGCCAGCAGGCAAGGGAAGGACAAACCAUCCUUGCAGGAAUAAUUCGUACUGAUCAUUUGGAGGAGAUUCGGCUAGUAUAGCUGCUGUUACAUAAUGAAGAAAAGGAAGAAUAUGUUUCAAACUCAGAUGAACCACUGGGGAGUCUCUUGAUACUCUGUUGCCUAAUUUGGAUGGUUAAUGGUCAGUGUUCCUAAUUGCACUGCCCCUGGAAAACGCACGGAGAAGAAAUACAGCAAAAUACAUGAGAUGGUGAAACACUCUGGCAACUGCAAGCGGACAGAUGGGAUCUGGGAGGUAAUGCAGGGUCACAGGGCAGUUACACCAGGAUAUUUGGUUCUUUCCUACUCUCCUUUCCCCACCCUCAAUGCUAUAUACAUAACUGCUAGUGAAUCAAUUUAUGUACAUAUCCCAGAUAUCUAGGACUGGUUGAGGCGGGUUAUCCAAGAGAGUCACAGUGUAUUACCAUUUUUUAUUAAGUACAACCAGACCAACAGAGAACUGAUUAACUCAACCACUGAACUUUAUGUUUUCCCCCAUCAUCUAUAGAAUUGAUUUUACUGGAUUUUGACAUGUCAGUUUAUCACUUACUUUAUCCUUCAGUGAAGGACACACUAAGGAAUGGAGUUAUUAAGCUUGUUCUACUGGCUGUGAGGAUGUUGUUGAGGGACAUUGUUCAUGACGUUAUGUUGUGUCAUUUUUAUGAGGACUCAAUGGAAGGACUUCUGUCUGAUUUCAGUACUGGAAGUAGUCAUACUUCUCCUGAGCAACCAUUUUCUUUCUCCGUUAUAAAAAUCUCAUUGUCUCUGUGAA
This 1005-nucleotide long non-coding RNA is filed under the name Homo sapiens (human). RNAcentral's name for it is "long intergenic non-protein coding RNA 3122". The record is from RNAcentral. Lineage: Eukaryota; Metazoa; Chordata; Mammalia; Primates; Hominidae.